Molecule: ribosomal RNA, 468 nt
Filed under: uncultured bacterium
Lineage: Bacteria
Description: partial 16S ribosomal RNA
Rfam family: Bacterial small subunit ribosomal RNA
Source: RNAcentral
GACGAACGCUGGCGGCGUGCUUAACACAUGCAAGUCGAACGGAAAGGCCCUGCUUUUGUGGGGUGCUCGAGUGGCGAACGGGUGAGUAACACGUGAGUAACCUGCCCUUGACUUUGGGAUAACUUCAGGAAACUGGGGCUAAUACCGGAUAGGAGCUCCUGCUGCAUGGUGGGGGUUGGAAAGUUUCGGCGGUUGGGGAUGGACUCGCGGCUUAUCAGCUUGUUGGUGGGGUAGGUGCAUACCAAGGCUUUGACGGGUAGCCGGCCUGGGAGGGGGACCGGCCACAUUAGGACUGGGAUACGGCCCAGACUCCAACCGGACGCAGCGGUGGGGAAGAUUACCCAGCGGGCGGGAGCCUGAUGCGACGACGCCGCGUGCGGGAAAACAUGCUUGUGGUUGUAAACCAAUUUUGUCUGACCCGAGGCGUGAGUGACGGUAACGGGUAAAGAAGCCCCGGCUAACUACGUG